UCUUCUCUUUCUUUCUCUCCUUUUCUCUUUCAACUGUCUGUCAUUAAUGUCCAGGUCUUACAAUGUACCAAUGGAGGAGAGGAAGAAAGCGAGGAAUGAGGGAUGAAUUGAUGGAUGGGAGGAUAAGCACUCUGUGUCCUUUCUUUAAAGAUUUGUUAUUGUACAGUACUGUCUCACAGUCAUUUUUGGUUGGUGUUUCAGCCUGAAAGCCCGUCCACGUGCUCUUUUGUAUGGGAAAGCAAUAAGGCCCCAUUGAAUGAAGCUGAAUGGACCUGCCAUCCUUAGGGGCUGAGGCCUGAGGACUCCUAUUCUUUAGCCCCCAAUCUAAUUGGAGCUGAAAUGAAAUGGAGGUUUCUUAUGAAAAUAGGCUUUGUUUGGCCGCAAGGCUGGUAAUUCAUAAACAAUAAGCAGGGCUCCAUUGUGUAGAUAAUAAUAUAUUCAUGCCGCUGGAGAUGGGGAGAAGGCAAAGCGAAGGCUGAGGAUAUAUAAGGAGGAUAGGCAGAGACAGCGAUGGAGAGUGGAGGGGAGGAGGAAAACCAGGGGCUAAUAGUAAACAGUGGGUCAAGGAAAAUUGGUAAUGGUUGGGUAGAGGCGAAGGAUUUAAUAGAGCAAGUGAAAGGACAUUAAGUGGGCAGGAGUGAGAAGUGAGUGCAAGUGAGGGAGGUAAAAAUGACAGGAACGGGCGAGAUGGACAAGAUAAGGAUGAGGCGAGAGGUGGUGGGCGGGAGAUUGGGAAAUGGCUACAGGUGACUGGUUUUGGAGGAAGCCAAGAGAGUAAAAGUAUCAUUAAAACUAGAGUGGCGGAAAGCUGAGAGAGAAGAGCGGUCAAGUGCAGGGAUAGAGGAGAGGAAACAGUGGCGUGAGGAGGAUGGUGUUACCGCUGAGGUUUGAAAUCUGUCAGGAAGGUUUUCACAGCCGGGGGAAAAAGGUAAAGGCUCCUUCUCUGUGGAGGUCAGUCAUUCUGAAAGUGGGGGAAGAGUUUUUUACUUACAAGGACUCAAGAAAACAGAGCUGGACAUGAGUGCUGUGUGGCGACGCAGGCUGGCAGAGGAGACCCCCCGCUUCCUGUAGUGGAUCCUUGCUGCUGUGACAUGUAAUAUCGGUCUGGGAAGGAGAUCUUUAUACCUGGAAAAUGCUCUGGAUACUACCUGAAAAUAUGGCUUCAAAUGAAAAUCUGCAGUGCAUUAGGGACAGAUGUUUGCAGCACUGGAGAAAAACUUGAAUUGAGGAGUAUAUUUUCAAAUGUUAGGAAUGCAAAGUGACCAUCCCCAGUGGAUGUGGAUCACACAGUGGAGACUGUGAUUUACAGAUAGCACCUUGUCCCUUCUCUCUACUGGCAGGCCAUCAUUGCAUCAAGUACCAGGAGAUGGGUGCAGUGAGCAGAAAAAAGGAGGACCUUUAAAGAAAUGUUAGAGACAGUCAGAGCCUAAGGUUUCCUCUAUUGACUCGUUACCCUGUGAUUGUCAACCAUAUAAACUCCUUAAUGACAUGAGCACUUCUUCCCAGUUGUCUAAUAUUUGCCGUAAAAGGG
Long non-coding RNA from Girardinichthys multiradiatus, 1531 nucleotides. RefSeq lists it as uncharacterized. The record is from RefSeq and is a predicted model, not a curated record. NCBI's taxonomy places the organism in Eukaryota, Metazoa, Chordata, Actinopteri, Cyprinodontiformes, Goodeidae. The transcript is spliced from 3 exons.